GUAAAAAGGUGACCUGCCGAGAGAGAUAUUAAAGAAAUUUAAUUGAUUUGUCUGAGUCGGAGAGAGAAUGUGUGGGGAGGACAGUGUAGAAUAGGAGGUCUAAAAUAUUUUUUGGUGUGAAUGGUAUUUUGGUGGGUGGGGUUAAGUGGGCGGUUGGUGGGUGUUUGAGUGGGGGGAGGGAGCCGAAAAGACUGGGAGUGUGGGUGGAUCUCUUAUUGAAAGGAGGUGUUUUAUAACGAUGAACUUUUAAUUAUAAAAGUGGAGUUUAUUUAUAUAUUUUUUGUUGUUGGGGGAAGUUUUUGGGGGGGAGUUUGGAGUGGAUGCAAAACAAAAAUAUUUUUUUAAACUAAUUGAGUGAACACAGAUUUCUUUUAGUAGAAAAAACUUCAAAACUUUCACAAUGGAUCUCUUGGUUGUGGGAUGGAUGAAGAACGCAGCGAAAUGCGAUAGCGUAAUGUGAAUUGCAGAAUUGGCGUGAAUCAUCGAAGCUUUGAACGCCAUUGCGGCGCUGUGGUAUUGGGGGGGGCAUGGCUGUUUGAGCGUCAUUUGCUUCUCAAACACGUUGUGUUUGGUAGUGAGUGAUACGCUGCGUUUUUGAGUUAACUUGAAAUUGUAGGCCAUAUCAGUAUGUGGGACACGAGCGCAAGCUUGCUGCUAUUAAUGCUGCUGCGCGUUUGCGCGAGGGGCGGGGGGUUAAUAGCUGUAUUAGGUUUUAGCAAGCUGCGGUGUUGAUGUAGGGAGGGAUAAGUGAGUGUUGCUGUGCGUGCUGGGCGACAGACGUCUUUAAGUUUGAGCGUGCAAAUGGAGGUAGGGUUAGCGCGGCUGAAGCUUAAGAUAUGCAUUAAGCGGGAAGGAAA
RNAcentral lists this ribosomal RNA (857 nucleotides) under Nakaseomyces glabratus. Its description in RNAcentral is "eukaryotic LSU rRNA". The stretch from base 390 to 545 matches the Rfam family "5.8S ribosomal RNA". Lineage: Eukaryota; Fungi; Ascomycota; Saccharomycetes; Saccharomycetales; Saccharomycetaceae. The record is from RNAcentral.